AACGUUUACAUUGUUCAUCAAGAGAGCAGCCUUUUCCGGCGAUGCAUUGAAGAGGAAGGACGUGAAAUACAUCCAUGGUUUUAAAUCCUCUACCAUCCAACAUUGUCCAACAACAGAAACAUCGUGUUGCCAAAAUCCCCAGACAUUACAGGACAAAGUCGUCAUCAUCUGACCAGACAAAAGCAUUCCGGGAGUAUGGAUUGGAGACUUUUCUCUUUCUUUUGGGGAUGGCUGGAUCCUUCUCACGGAAAUUCGGAGGAUGGCAUACUUUAUCAGUCCUAUGGCGGGUGGUUGGUGCUCUUUUAUAUGUUGCCAGUCUUGCCACAUUCUUGACACCUUCUGCUGUUGAAGUACCUUUGCCUCCAUCUAACAUGUGCUUUCCCGGACUUGACUGAUGCUUGUGUUCUUGAACCCUUUCCAGUUCUUGAAGAAGACUUCUGUUUAUCUAAAGUGGACUUCCUGUACCUGCUCUACUGUGAUCUUCCUCUGCAUCCGUGUCACUGUCCACGAUGAUUACUUCAGCAACUGCUUGUCCUAACAUGUGAAAGCAAAGAUUUACCUGUAACAGGAGUUAAUGUUUUGUCCAGAUCGGAUCCUUGGAUCAGCUCAUCCACAACCGAGACUUCUUGGGCCUGUUCUGCUCUUCUCCGAAUGGUGUUCUCACUCGCAGUUUGAUUUCGUGGAAUCGAUUCGUAAUCCUCAGAAUCUGAUACAAGUGUAGGAAGGGAGGAAACCUCUGGCGUACUCAUAACUUCCGAAUCGCUCUCCGCAUCAGUGUUUCCUAAAACCAUUUUCAAUUUUUUCAUUAUCACAGGGAGUGAUUAUUUCAUUAUGUACAUUAUUUAUUAUUUUCAUUGAUCAGGAAAUCUUUUUAAAUUUCAUGUUUUCAACAAUACUAAUAAUGUUCUUUGUUAGAAUUAUACUAACUUUUUCAUUAAUUUUAAUGUUCUACUUAUGUUUAAAUGUUUACCUGGUCUAAUAUCCCACUCUCCCAACUCGCAGGAAGGAACACCAGCCCACGUCUCAAAUAGUGGUGUUGUAUAAUUGUAAGUAGGUUGGGCAUUGAGGGGGUAAACUGAUCUAUUAUAUAAUAACAUUCUUUAAUAUGUGAAGUAAAAUUAUACCUCUCUAGAGUAAUAUUAUUUAAUGGAACAUAAUUAAAUAACUUACUUCACAAGAUUGAAGAAUCCAUCAUACAGGUGGGAUUUCACAUGAUUCCUCCACAUAAUCUCUGCCAUGUGACCCUCAAACUGUGAAAUUUUAGUUCCUGACAUUCUCUUGAAGUGCUCUUUUGCAUGCUUCCAUGCCCCCUCAAUACGAUUGGUGUGGAUGGAUUUCUCUUCACCUGUCUCCGCAUUGACAUAGGUCUUUUUGAAUGCAUACUUAUGUAUCACUGUGAAGUGCUCAUAUCCCAUAUCAUUUAGUGGGCAAUAUGCCGACCACCCAUCGCUGUAGAUGGAACUCCCAGGCAAACAAUGGCGUUGAAUGAUUGGGAGCAAUGUUUCCUCUUUCCUGUCUGCUACGGGGUAUAAUAUAAUGGUGUUUGUCUCCCUCUCGACCAUUCCAAACACCCAAAUCUGAAAUGUAAAUAGUGUUUAUUUAUAGCAACCUCUCAGCAAGAUAUGCUAUUUCAUUGGCUUUUAUAAAUGUAGAUAUUAUAUAGUUUAAUUCUUCUAUUUAUGUUUUCCUUCAAUUUCUUUAAAAUAGAGCAAAACAUGCCAACAAUGUUUGUUUAUUACCUUGAUUCAAUACUGCAAUA
This is a long non-coding RNA of Saccostrea cuccullata (small rock oyster), 1759 nucleotides long. RefSeq lists it as uncharacterized. The record is from RefSeq and is a predicted model, not a curated record. Lineage: Eukaryota; Metazoa; Mollusca; Bivalvia; Ostreida; Ostreidae. The transcript is spliced from 6 exons.